RNAcentral lists this ribosomal RNA (497 nucleotides) under uncultured bacterium. RNAcentral describes it as "partial 16S ribosomal RNA". It matches the Rfam family "Bacterial small subunit ribosomal RNA", at positions 28 to 507 of the family's 1533-position model. The record is from RNAcentral.
GAUGAACGCUGGCGGCGUGCCUAAUACAUGCAAGUCGAGCGAACGGACGAGAAGCUUGCUUCUCUGAUGUUAGCGGCGGACGGGUGAUUAACACGUGGAUAACCUACCUAUCAGACUGGGAUAACUUCGGGAAACCGGAGCUACUACCGGAUAAUAUUUUGCACCUCAUUGUUCAAAAGUUAAAGACGGUCUUGCUGUCACUUAUAGAUUGAUCCGCGCUGCAUUAGCUAGUUGGUAAGGUAACGGCUUACCAAGGCAACGAUGCAUAGCCGGCCUGAGAGGGUGAUCGGCCACACGGGAACUGAGGCACGGUCCAGACUCCUACGGGAGGCAGCAGUAGGGAAUCUUACGCAAGGGGCGAAAGCCUGACGGAGCAACGCCGCGUGAGUGAUGAAGGUCUUAGGAUCGUAAAACUCUGUUAUUAGGGAAGAACAUAUGUGUAAGUACCUGUGCACAUCUUGACGGUACCGAAUCAGAAAGCCACGGCUAACUACGUG